AUCCAGCUGACGAGUCCUAAAUAGGAUGAAGUGGCGUGCGUCAAACUGGAU
Molecule: non-coding RNA, 51 nt
Organism: Schistosoma rodhaini
Lineage: Eukaryota; Metazoa; Platyhelminthes; Trematoda; Strigeidida; Schistosomatidae
Source: Rfam